This 449-nucleotide ribosomal RNA is filed under the name uncultured bacterium. RNAcentral describes it as "bacterial SSU rRNA". It matches the Rfam family "Bacterial small subunit ribosomal RNA", at positions 28 to 496 of the family's 1533-position model. The record is from RNAcentral.
GAUGAACGCUGGCGGCGCGCCUAACACAUGCAAGUCGAACGGCACCUAUCUUCGGAUAGAAGCGAGUGGCGAACGGCUGAGUAACACGUGGAGAACCUGCCCCCUCCCCCGGGAUAGCCGCCCGAAAGGACGGGUAAUACCGGAUACCCCCGGGCGCCGCAUGGCGCCCGGGCUUAAAGCCCCGACGGGAGGGGAUGGCUCCGCGGCCCAUCAGGUAGACGGCGGGGUGACGGCCCACCGUGCCGACAACGGGUAGCCGGGUUGAGAGACCGACCGGCCAGAUUGGGACUGAGACACGGCCCAGACUCCUACGGGAGGCAGCGGUGGGGAAUCUUGCGCAAUGGGGGGAACCCUGACGCAGCGACGCCGCGUGCGGGACGGAGGCCUUCGGGUCGUAAACCGCUUUCAGCAGGGAAGAGUCAAGACUGUACCUGCAGAAGAAGCCCCGG